CGUAGGGUGCAAGCGUUAAUCGGAAUUACUGGGCGUAAAGCGUGCGCAGGCGGUUUUGUAAGUCUGUCGUGAAAUCCCCGGGCUCAACCUGGGAAUUGCGAUGGAGACUGCAAGGCUAGAAUCUGGCAGAGGGGGGUAGAAUUCCACGUGUAGCAGUGAAAUGCGUAGAGAUGUGGAGGAACACCGAUGGCGAAGGCAGCCCCCCUGGGUCAAGAUUGACGCUCAUGCACGAAAGCGUGGGGAGCAAACAGGAUUAGAUACCCUGGUAGUCCACGCCCUAAACGAUGUCUACUAGUUGUCGGGUUUUAAUUAACUUGGUAACGCAGCUAACGCGUGAAGUAGACCGCCUGGGGAGUACGGUCGCAAGAUUA
RNAcentral lists this ribosomal RNA (371 nucleotides) under uncultured organism. Its description in RNAcentral is "bacterial SSU rRNA". It matches the Rfam family "Bacterial small subunit ribosomal RNA", at positions 526 to 896 of the family's 1533-position model. The record is from RNAcentral.